This 497-nucleotide ribosomal RNA is filed under the name uncultured bacterium. RNAcentral describes it as "partial 16S ribosomal RNA". It matches the Rfam family "Bacterial small subunit ribosomal RNA", at positions 28 to 507 of the family's 1533-position model. The record is from RNAcentral.
GAUGAACGCUGGCGGCGUGCCUAAUACAUGCAAGUCGAGCGAACAGACGAGGAGCUUGCUCCUCUGACUUUAUCGGCGGACGGGUGAGUAACACGUGGAUAACCUACCUAUAAGACUGGGAUAACUUCGUGCCACCGGAGCUAAUACCGGAUAAUAUAUUGAACCGCAUGGUUCAAUAGUGAAAGACGGUUUUGCCGUCACUUAUAGAUGGAUCCGCGCCGCAUUAGCUAGUUGGUAAGGUAACGGCUUACCAAGGCAACGAUGCGUAGCCGACCUGAGAGGGUGAUCAGCCACACUGGAACUGAGACACGGUCCAGACUCCUACGGGAGGCAGCAGUAGGGAAUCUUCCGCAAUGGGCGAAAGCCUGACGGAGCAACGCCGCGUGAGUGAUGAAGGUCUUCGGAUCGUAAAACUCUGUUAUUAGGGAAGAACAAAUGUGUAAGUAACUAUGCACGUCUUGACGGUACCUAAUCAGAAAGCCACGGCUAACUACGUG